This 69-nucleotide transfer RNA is filed under the name Salmonella enterica subsp. enterica serovar Heidelberg str. RI-11-013343. RNAcentral describes it as "tRNA-OTHER". The record is from RNAcentral. Lineage: Bacteria; Pseudomonadati; Pseudomonadota; Gammaproteobacteria; Enterobacterales; Enterobacteriaceae.
UGGCGGAAUUGGUAGACGCGCUAGCUUCAGGUGUUAGUGUCCUUACGGACGUGGGGGUUCAAGUCCCCC